ACCUGACUGGCUCAGCUGGUAGAGCAUGUGACUCUCAAACUCAGUGUUGUGAGUUUGAACCCCUCGCUGGGUG
Molecule: transfer RNA, 73 nt
Filed under: Mustela putorius furo (domestic ferret)
Lineage: Eukaryota; Metazoa; Chordata; Mammalia; Carnivora; Mustelidae
Rfam family: tRNA
About the family: Transfer RNA (tRNA) molecules are approximately 80 nucleotides in length. Their secondary structure includes four short double-helical elements and three loops (D, anti-codon, and T loops). Further hydrogen bonds mediate the characteristic L-shaped molecular structure. tRNAs have two regions of fundamental functional importance: the anti-codon, which is responsible for specific mRNA codon recognition, and the 3' end, to which the tRNAs corresponding amino acid is attached (by aminoacyl-tRNA synthetases). tRNAs cope with the degeneracy of the genetic code in two manners: having more than one tRNA (with a specific anti-codon) for a particular amino acid; and 'wobble' base-pairing, i.e. permitting non-standard base-pairing at the 3rd anti-codon position.
Source: Rfam by way of RNAcentral